CGGCGUUCCUGGACGCUAAGGCCUUUUUGGGGCUCGUGGUGCGGGCACCGCUGGGGUGCUCUGCUUUGGCCUGCGAAACUCCCCAGCUUUUUCUGGCCUGCGUGGGUAUCAGUGCCCACCUCCGUGUCACCAAGCAUCCUGGUUCUCAGUCUCUGACACCUGUAAGAUGGAGUAGCAGUACUUAGUUUUUAGAGUUGUUUUGAGGACUACAAAUAAUACACGAGAAGCACUCAACACUCCUGGCAUGGAGCAGGUGUACCUAUGGUUUCUACGAUUCUUUGUACGGCAGCUGUGCUCACGCUGAGAUCAACCCUGACAGCACUCCACUCUCCCUUGGCAGGAAACUAAGAAGGAAAGAAUGGCCAUGGAUUUUCUGCCUGCACAGGUGAUGGACUAACUGUACCAGAAACACGCACUCCAAACAAAUUGCGAUGAACAUCAAGAUGUGAAAUCCUGUGCAUUCCAAAGCCACCUGCAGCCCCUGUUCAGACCAGAACGAUCUCUGACCCCUUCCUCCAGCAGUGGUACUGGAGUGGUUGCCUCCUCCUUGGCUGGGCCAUUGGAAGAAAUUGCCUCCUCCAUCCUUCAGUCUUCCUUCUCCCCAGUGCCUGCUCAUUUCAAGGGGGCCAGAGGGCAGGGACUUGUCUUCUACAGGGAGGCACUCCUGACUGCAGGGGUCUGAGUUGGAGAGCAAGGAGCAAGCAUGCCGUGAGAGAUGCUGGAACUCGUGCAGGGGACUCCUUCACAGGAAAGGGAGAAGAGAGAUACUCACUGGCAGAGCACCAUUCAGACCCAGAUGAGGCAGUCUCUGUGGGACCCUGGCUUUCUGUCUGAUCCUUGUUAGCAAGGUGAUCGAACACACAGGCCUCAGGAGACACGGCAGAUGCAAUGAGUACACACACCUAAGGAUUCCAGAGAAGCCCACCCAGGACCACCUUUUGGACCCAGAGCUUUGCCAGGGACAAGCAGAGGCCCACUGUGACCCACUGGCUCCUCUCUUUGCAUCAGGUGGACUUGGAUAAGUCCCGUCCUGGCUCCUGGAGGCAUCCGGGCCUCUGUGUUCCAGGGAGAGACAGAGGACCACCCGCCCUUGGGAACAGCUAAUUGCCCAGGACAAGAAUGUUGCAGCUUCUAUCACCUAAUCCCCCCCUGAUUCUCAAAGCUCUCACUGCAUCUUGUUUAUUCCCUGGUAUAAAAAGUCUGGCCUGGAAAGAGAAGACAAGAUGGUCCAUUAGGGUGUGAACCCACCAUCUUCUCGGAUCGCCAUCCAU
Molecule: long non-coding RNA, 1271 nt
Organism: Phyllostomus hastatus (greater spear-nosed bat)
Lineage: Eukaryota; Metazoa; Chordata; Mammalia; Chiroptera; Phyllostomidae
Exons: 8
Source: RefSeq, a predicted model, not a curated record